RNAcentral lists this long non-coding RNA (367 nucleotides) under Physcomitrium patens. Its description in RNAcentral is "long non-coding RNA (PPAT_LNC013735)". The record is from RNAcentral. Lineage: Eukaryota; Viridiplantae; Streptophyta; Bryopsida; Funariales; Funariaceae.
AGGGGUCUUGGUAGCAAAAAGAGAAGUUAGGGUAUUCAUAUGGAUGAAUGGAGAUGGAUGAUGAAAAUCUCCAUUCCUAUUGGCUAAAAAUCAUGUCCAAUGGUCUUCAAGGAGGUUGCCCGAGGCCUUAUUAGGGAUUAGGGUAGUUCUUUCAGAGGCAUUUGAGCUUUGGAGGCUAAGAUCAGUAAGUUUAAGUUUUUGGCUAUAAUUUUGGUGAAAAUUUUGUGUGAUUUGGAGUUUAUAUGAAAGAAAAGUUAAGGUGUUGUUUUUGUACCUAUUGUAACUUUUUUAGACAUAAUGUGUGUAUAUAGAAAGCAAUAAAGGAUUGGCAACUAGGGUUGGAGAGAACACUUUCACGGCUAUACUU